This 891-nucleotide ribosomal RNA is filed under the name uncultured Propionibacterium sp. RNAcentral describes it as "bacterial SSU rRNA". It matches the Rfam family "Bacterial small subunit ribosomal RNA", at positions 56 to 957 of the family's 1533-position model. The record is from RNAcentral. Lineage: Bacteria; Bacillati; Actinomycetota; Actinomycetes; Propionibacteriales; Propionibacteriaceae.
UGCAGUCGAACGGAAAGGCCCUGCUUUUGUGGGGUGCUCGAGUGGCGAACGGCUGUGUAACACGUGAGUAACCUGCCCUUGACUUUGGGAUAACUUCAGGAAACUGGGGCUAAUACCGGAUAGGAGCUCCUGCUGCAUGGUGGGGGUUGGAAAGUUUCGGCGGUUGGGGAUGGACUCGCGGCUUAUCAGCUUGUUGGUGGGGUAGUGGCUUACCAAGGCUUUGACGGGUAGCCGGCCUGAGAGGGUGACCGGCCACAUUGGGACUGAGAUACGGCCCAGACUCCUACGGGAGGCAGCAGUGGGGAAUAUUGCACAAUGGGCGGAAGCCUGAUGCAGCAACGCCGCGUGCGGGAUGACGGCCUUCGGGUUGUAAACCGCUUUCGCCUGUGACGAAGCGUGAGUGACGGUAAUGGGUAAAGAAGCACCGGCUAACUACGUGCCAGCAGCCGCGGUGAUACGUAGGGUGCGAGCGUUGUCCGGAUUUAUUGGGCGUAAAGGGCUCGUAGGUGGUUGAUCGCGUCGGAAGUGUAAUCUUGGGGCUUAACCCUGAGCGUGCUUUCGAUACGGGUUGACUUGAGGAAGGUAGGGGAGAAUGGAAUUCCUGGUGGAGCGGUGGAAUGCGCAGAUAUCAGGAGGAACACCAGUGGCGAAGGCGGUUCUCUGGGCCUUUCCUGACGCUGAGGAGCGAAAGCGUGGGGAGCGAACAGGCUUAGAUACCCUGGUAGUCCACGCUGUAAACGGUGGGUACUAGGUGUGGGGUCCAUUCCACGGGUUCGGUGCCGUAGCUAACGCUUUAAGUACCCCGCCUGGGGAGUACGGCCGCAAGGCUAAAACUCAAAGGAAUUGACGGGGCCCCGCACAAGCGGCGGAGCAUGCGGAUUAAUUCGAUGC